AUGUUUCUUGAGGAAUGUAAAUGGGGCACUCAGAGCCACUCUUUAAUUGAGGUAAUUUUACAGGGGUCAUGCGAAGGUUGCCGGAUUGACUGGAGGAGUUGCUCUGAAGCAAGGCGCCGAGCAAACCCCCCUGCAGUUGUUUCACCAGGAGCAUCUCUUCACCUGGGGGAGGCAUCAGUUCAUUAUUUGCUUGCAGCUCAUGCUUAUGCCCUCAUCUGCUUUUCUGUGGCUGGAAAAAAGGCGUGUGAAUGUGGAUGGAAAUAACCAAAGCCCAAGAAAAGGACCGAGCAGUGCCCGGCCAGAGGUGCCCGUUAGCAUUUGCAGGCUUUGAUUUGGAAAUCUCGAAUACAUCGCCCCUGAUUAGAGGAACAGUGUCUGAAAAACUGCGGAAGAUUUCUCCGGGGAACCAUCGGGCUUCAAGGAGAAGAAAUAUUUGCUGGUGGUAAUUAUAUAUUAGCUUUAAGACAACCAAAUUAUUUCUGAAGUGACAGAGCAUUAUGGACACGGUCAGCAUUGCUUUCAGCUCUAAUUCACGGCGCGCAGGAAGGGAGCGGGCGAACGGGGAAGUGACAUUAAUUGUGGCCCAAUUCAUUUCCCUGCAUGGAGAGCCACAGCUAAUCUCCUUAAAAGAAAAAUGGUUUAAUCUGAAAGGGCUGUGCGGGAUGAUUUGUGAACCUGGAGGGAAGUGAGGCAGCGGGAGGCAGUCCCAGGGCUGAGCAGUGAUCCCAGGGCUCGGUGGUCCCAGGGCUCAGUGGUCCCAGGGCUCAGUGGUCCCAGGGCUUGAUGGUCCCAGGGCUCUGUGGUCCCAGGGCUUGGUGGUCCCAGGGUUCUCUGGUCCCAGGGCUUGGUGGUCCCAGGGCUCAGUGGUCCAGCUCCCACCAGGACACGGACCCACAAGCAGUGGGGGGGGAUCCCCAUUCUGCGGUGCCCAGGACCAGGCGAUCUGUGGUGCCUGAAGUGGAGGAGUGAUUCAUGUUGCUGUCCCUCCAGAAGGAAUAAGUAUGGAAUAUUUAUUAGGCCAAUUACCACGUGCUCUUGUCCCCUGGAAGUUCGUGCCCUGUAGUGCUCUGAAGGGAGGAGUAUAAUGUUUUACUGCAGAGAAAAAUCCCUCUUUGGUUAUUAACAUUUAGCUCAACUGUGGCAAAGCAGUCCCAACAUUUGAAUUUGGAAGGUUUAUUCCCCAUUUCUCCCACACAUCUUCCUGAAAGCAUACCAGCGACUUGAUAAAAAACUGAUUUAAUGGCUACAAAACCCGGAGAUAAAACUACUCUUAAUGGCUUU
Molecule: long non-coding RNA, 1281 nt
Filed under: Numida meleagris (helmeted guineafowl)
Lineage: Eukaryota; Metazoa; Chordata; Aves; Galliformes; Numididae
Description: lncRNA (ENSNMEG00000004855.1)
Source: RNAcentral